GUUGUAUGGUUAAGUGACUAAGCGUACACGGUGGAUGCCUUGGCAGUCAGAGGCGAUGAAAGACGUAGUAACUUGCGAUAAGCCCAGAUUAGGUAGUAACAACCAUUUGAGUCUGGGAUUUCUGAAUGGGGAAACCCACUUACAUAAGUAAGUAUCAUUAACUGAAUACAUAGGUUAAUGAGGCGAACCGGGGGAACUGAAACAUCUAAGUACCCCGAGGAAAAGAAAUCAACCGAGAUUCCGAAAGUAGCGGCGAGCGAAAUUGGACUAGCCCUUAAGCUUUACACGCGUUAGACGAACGGUCUGGAAAGUCCGACGAUACAGGGUGAUAGUCCCGUAGUUGACGACGUGUGUUCAGUGAAAUCGAGUAGGGCGGGACACGUGAUAUCCUGUCUGAAUAUGGGGGGACCAUCCUCCAAGGCUAAAUACUACUGACUGACCGAUAGUGAACCAGUACCGUGAGGGAAAGGCGAAAAGAACCCCUGUGAGGGGAGUGAAAUAGAACCUGAAACCGUGUACGUACAAGCAGUAGGAGCAGGCUUUGUCCUGUGACUGCGUACCUUUUGUAUAAUGGGUCAGCGACUUAUAUUCAGUGGCAAGGUUAACCAUCUAGGGGAGCCGUAGGGAAACCGAGUCUUAACUGGGCGUUCAGUCUCUGGAUAUAGACCCGAAACCAGGUGAUCUAGCCAUGGGCAGGUUGAAGGUUGAGUAACAUCAACUGGAGGACCGAACCGACUAAUGUUGAAAAAUUAGCGGAUGACUUGUGGCUAGGGGUGAAAGGCCAAUCAAACCUGGAGAUAGCUGGUUCUCCCCGAAAGCUAUUUAGGUAGCGCCUCGGACGAAUACUACUGGGGGUAGAGCACUGUUAAGGCUAGGGGGUCAUCCCGACUUACCAACCCUUUGCAAACUCCGAAUACCAGUAAGUACUAUCCGGGAGACACACGGCGGGUGCUAACGUCCGUCGUGGAGAGGGAAACAACCCAGACCGCCAGCUAAGGUCCCAAAUUACUACUAAGUGGGAAACGAUGUGGGAAGGCUCAGACAGCCAGGAUGUUGGCUUAGAAGCAGCCAUCAUUUAAAGAAAGCGUAAUAGCUCACUGGUCGAGUCGGCCUGCGCGGAAGAUGUAACGGGGCUAAGUAGUAAACCGAAGCUGCGGCAAUGUGCUUUUGCACAUUGGGUAGGGGAGCGUUCUGUAAGCGGUUGAAGGUGUGUGGUAACGCAUGCUGGACGUAUCAGAAGUGCGAAUGCUGACAUGAGUAACGAUAAAGGGGGUGAAAAACCUCCUCGCCGGAAGACCAAGGGUUCCUGUCCAACGUUAAUCGGGGCAGGGUAAGUCGACCCCUAAGGCGAGGCCGAAAGGCGUAGUCGAUGGGAAACGGGUUAAUAUUCCCGUACUUCUUACAAUUGCGAUGGGGGGACGGAGAAGGCUAGGUGGGCCUGGCGACGGUUGUCCAGGUUCAAGUGCGUAGGCUUGAGAGUUAGGUAAAUCCGGCUCUCUCUAAGGCUGAGACACGACGUCGAGCACCUACGGGUGUGAAGUCAUUGAUGCCAUGCUUCCAGGAAAAGCCUCUAAGCUUCAGAUUGUAAGGAAUCGUACCCCAAACCGACACAGGUGGUCGGGUAGAGAAUACCAAGGCGCUUGAGAGAACUCGGGUGAAGGAACUAGGCAAAAUGGUACCGUAACUUCGGGAGAAGGUACGCUCUUGAUGGUGAAGUCCCUUGCGGAUGGAGCUGACGAGAGUCGCAGAUACCAGGUGGCUGCAACUGUUUAUUAAAAACACAGCACUGUGCAAAAUCGUAAGAUGACGUAUACGGUGUGACGCCUGCCCGGUGCCGGAAGGUUAAUUGAUGGGGUUAGACUUCGGUCGAAGCUCUUGAUCGAAGCCCCGGUAAACGGCGGCCGUAACUAUAACGGUCCUAAGGUAGCGAAAUUCCUUGUCGGGUAAGUUCCGACCUGCACGAAUGGCGUAAUGAUGGCCACGCUGUCUCCACCCGAGACUCAGUGAAAUUGAAAUCGCUGUGAAGAUGCAGUGUACCCGCGGCUAGACGGAAAGACCCCGUGAACCUUUACUACAGCUUGGCACUGAACAUUGACCCUACAUGUGUAGGAUAGGUGGGAGGCUUUGAAGCACGUACGCCAGUAUGUGUGGAGCCGUCCUUGAAAUACCACCCUUGUAGUGUUGAUGUUCUAACGUCGACCCCUUAUCGGGGUUGCGGACAGUGCCUGGUGGGUAGUUUGACUGGGGCGGUCUCCUCCCAAAGAGUAACGGAGGAGCACGAAGGUGGGCUAAUCACGGUUGGACAUCGUGAGGUUAGUGCAAUGGCAUAAGCCCGCUUGACUGCGAGAAUGACAAUUCGAGCAGGUGCGAAAGCAGGUCAUAGUGAUCCGGUGGUUCUGAAUGGAAGGGCCAUCGCUCAACGGAUAAAAGGUACUCCGGGGAUAACAGGCUGAUACCGCCCAAGAGUUCAUAUCGACGGCGGUGUUUGGCACCUCGAUGUCGGCUCAUCACAUCCUGGGGCUGAAGUCGGUCCCAAGGGUAUGGCUGUUCGCCAUUUAAAGUGGUACGCGAGCUGGGUUUAGAACGUCGUGAGACAGUUCGGUCCCUAUCUGCCGUGGGCGUUGGAAGAUUGAAGGGGGCUGCUCCUAGUACGAGAGGACCGGAGUGGACGAACCUCUGGUGUUCGGGUUGUGUCGCCAGACGCAUUGCCCGGUAGCUAAGUUCGGAAUCGAUAACCGCUGAAAGCAUCUAAGCGGGAAGCGAGCCCUGAGAUGAGUCUUCCCUGAUACUUUAAGUAUCCUAAAGGGUUGUCGGAGACUACGACGUUGAUAGGUCAGGUGUGUAAGUGCUGUGAGGCAUUGAGCUAACUGAUACUAAUUGCCCGUGAGGCUUAACCAUACAACACCCAAGGGGUUU
This 2916-nucleotide ribosomal RNA is filed under the name Vibrio parahaemolyticus. RNAcentral's name for it is "bacterial LSU rRNA". It matches the Rfam family "Bacterial large subunit ribosomal RNA". Lineage: Bacteria; Pseudomonadati; Pseudomonadota; Gammaproteobacteria; Vibrionales; Vibrionaceae. The record is from RNAcentral.